Molecule: transfer RNA, 72 nt
Filed under: Patescibacteria group bacterium
Lineage: Bacteria
Description: tRNA-Arg
Rfam family: tRNA
About the family: Transfer RNA (tRNA) molecules are approximately 80 nucleotides in length. Their secondary structure includes four short double-helical elements and three loops (D, anti-codon, and T loops).
Source: RNAcentral
GCGCCCAUAGUUCAAUGGAUAGAGCACAAGCCUCCGAAGCUUGAAAUUGAGGUUCGACUCCUCAUGGGCGCA